UACAGAGGUCUCGAGCGUUGUUCGGAUUCAUUGGGCGUAAAGGGUGCGUAGGCGGCGCGGUAAGUCGGGUGUGAAAUCUCGGAGCUUAACUCCGAAACUGCAUUCGAUACUGCCGUGCUUGAGGACUGGAGAGGAGACUGGAAUUUACGGUGUAGCAGUGAAAUGCGUAGAGAUGCGGCGGAACACCGAUGGCGAAGGCAGCCCCCUGGGCUGAGAUUGAC
Molecule: ribosomal RNA, 221 nt
Filed under: uncultured prokaryote
Description: partial 16S ribosomal RNA
Rfam family: Bacterial small subunit ribosomal RNA
Source: RNAcentral